Columba livia (rock pigeon) is the source of this 755-nucleotide long non-coding RNA. RefSeq lists it as uncharacterized. The record is from RefSeq and is a predicted model, not a curated record. The transcript is spliced from 3 exons. NCBI's taxonomy places the organism in Eukaryota, Metazoa, Chordata, Aves, Columbiformes, Columbidae.
CUGGGAGGGACUGGCAGUACAGGGAAGAUACUGAGAGCACUGGGAGGACACUGGGUGACACUGGGAGGUUACUGGGGGCACUGAGAGGUUACUGGGGGCACUGGGAACAGACUGGGAUGACUGGGAGGCGACUGGGAUGACUGGCAACAGACUGGGAGCAGCGGGGGAUCGAACCGCGGUCUCUCCGCUCCCAUUCCCGCUUCUCCAUUCGCGCUCUUCACAUUCCCGCCCCGGCCGCUUCCAUUCCGUGCAGAGGGGGGUUCUGCUUUCCCUCCCUAUUGCCCCCCAUGUCCUGGGAGCAAUGGGAUGUUACUGGGAGUGACUGGGAGCACUGGGAGGAUACUGGGAGCACUGGGAGGCGACUGGGAUCACUGGGAACAGACUGGGAGCACUGGGGGAUCGAACCGUGGUGUCUCUGUCCCCCCCCAAGCCGGUUGCAUUCUGCUCCUGGGAGGUGACUGGGAGGGACUGGCAGUACUGGGAAGAUACUGAGAGCACUGGGAGGACACUGGGUGACACUGGGAGGACACUGGGUGACACUGGGAGGUUACUGGGAGCACUGGGAGGUUACUGGGAGCACUGGGAACAGACUGGGAGCACUGGGGGAUCGAACCGUGGUGUCCAUGUCCCCCCCCCAAGCCGGUUCCAUUCUGCUCCUGGGAGGUGACUGGGAGGGACUGGCAGUACUGGGAAGAUACUGAGAGCACUGGGAGGAGACUGGGUGACACUGGGAGGACACUGGGUGACACUGGGAG